RNAcentral lists this ribosomal RNA (253 nucleotides) under uncultured bacterium. RNAcentral's name for it is "partial 16S ribosomal RNA". It matches the Rfam family "Bacterial small subunit ribosomal RNA", at positions 524 to 776 of the family's 1533-position model. The record is from RNAcentral.
UACGGAGGGGGCGAGCGUUGUUCGGAAUUACUGGGCGUAAAGGGCACGUAGGCGGAUUUUUAAGUCAGGUGUGAAAUCCCGGGGCUCAACCUCGGAAGUGCCUCUGAUACUGCAGGUCUUGAGUACGGGAGAGGUGAGUGGAAUUCCUGGUGUAGCGGUGAAAUUCGUAGAUAUUAGGAAGAACACCAGUGGCGAAGGCGGCUCCCUGGACCAAUACUGACGCUGAGGUGCGAAAGCGUGGGGAGCAAACAGG